Molecule: microRNA precursor, 200 nt
Filed under: Oryza barthii
Lineage: Eukaryota; Viridiplantae; Streptophyta; Magnoliopsida; Poales; Poaceae
Description: MIR812 microRNA precursor family
Rfam family: MIR812 microRNA precursor family
Source: Rfam by way of RNAcentral
UAUAAGAGAUUUUGAGUUUUUGUUUGCAACGUUUGACCACUCGUCUUAUUCAAAAUUUUUUGAAAUUAUUAUUAUUUUUUGACUUACUUUAUUAUCUACGGUAUUUUAAGUAUAAAUUUUCGUUUUUUAUAUUUGCAAAAAAAAAAUUGAAUAAGACGAGUGGUCAAACGUUGCAAUAAAAACUCAAAAUCCCUUGUAUC